AGAGACAGAAGCAGAGGAGCAGAUCUGCCAGCAGCUGGUUCACGCCCCAGAUGGCCAGAACUCAAUGCCGGUCUCCCACGUGGGCAGCAGGCCUCCGACUACUUGAGCCACCUCCGGCCGCUGGGGGCCCAGGUGCUCCGACGGGGGCUGCAGCUGUCCCAGGCAGCAGCUUCGCUUGCAGAGAAGAGCGCCUCAGCCGUGACCCCUGCCUGUCCGCUCGCGAGGGCAUGGCCCUCCCCUCCAUGCAGGGCCUCUUUCUUCUCAAGGAUCCAGAAACAGAGGCUGAAGAGCUGGCGUGGGAGCUGUGCGUGUGUGCACGUGAACCCCCGGCUGCUCCUCGGGCAGCCUGGGGCAAGGCCUGGCUCCAGGGGCCCAGCCCAGCUUCCUGGGAGGCAGCGGAAGAUGGCUCGAGUGCUUGGACCCCUUCCACCCACGUGGGAGACCCGGAUGGAGUUUCAGGCUCCUGGCCUCAGCCUGGCCCAGCCCUGGCCGUUGCAGGCAUUUGGAGAGAGAACCAGCAGAUGGAAGAUCUCUCACCAUCUCUCCUUUACUCUCUGUCACUCUGCCUUUCCAAUAAAUAAAUCUUUAAACAAAACAAAACAAGAAAGUGACUCCAAGGAGUUCAGAAUAAUGAAACACCACGGAUGUUGCCAAGGAGGCCAUUUCCUUAGCUCCAUCCCUUCCCCAGUGCAAAUCUGCUUCUGAUCACUGUGCAUCCGGCGUGGGACGGCACCGCAGAGCACGGGGAGACCGCAUCGCUGGCCACCUGCUGCGCACCGUGGCGGCCACGGCCCUGGCUGGGGUGCUGCUGCCCCGUCUUUUUUUUUUUUUAAAUAUUUUAUUUAUUUA
This is a non-coding RNA of Oryctolagus cuniculus (rabbit), 849 nucleotides long. The record is from RefSeq and is a predicted model, not a curated record. NCBI's taxonomy places the organism in Eukaryota, Metazoa, Chordata, Mammalia, Lagomorpha, Leporidae.